ACGAUUUAAAUUUUCCUGGGAAAUAUAUUAUUUACGAUAAUAUUUGAUUGUUCGAUUCAAUAUUUUAAA
Molecule: transfer RNA, 69 nt
Filed under: Ceratocombus sp. HL-2012
Lineage: Eukaryota; Metazoa; Arthropoda; Insecta; Hemiptera; Ceratocombidae
Description: tRNA-Val
Source: RNAcentral